Molecule: long non-coding RNA, 493 nt
Organism: Arachis duranensis
Lineage: Eukaryota; Viridiplantae; Streptophyta; Magnoliopsida; Fabales; Fabaceae
Exons: 2
Source: RefSeq, a predicted model, not a curated record
AACCCUAAUUGGAACCUUAGUAGGCUAGUACUGAGUAUAAGAGGUUCCUCUAUCCACAAACUCUUCUAUAAGAUGCAGCCGCGGCGUCGCAGCUUCAGUUCCAUUGGACAAAUGCUUAGCCGCUUCUGUCUAUCUUAGGAGAAGAUUCAAGAGACAACAAAAGAGAUAGGGGAGAUAGUUCAGGAUUCAAUGGAAGAAGAAGACGUCGUGCCCGACGUCAACUCUAAUGAGGUUGUUUCAACUGGACACAAUGAUUCCUUCCUAAGUUUUGACCUCAAUAAAAUACUAGAAGAGAAUGAGGUCUUUUGAUUGAGAAUAAUUGAUUUUUUGCAUUGGUUUUUAAAGACCAAUUGUGUGGGCUGUAAUUUGAUUUUAUCAGUGGAUAUGUUUGAAUCUUAACAGACCUUCAUUGUUGGUAUUUAUUCAACUCAUUUGGCUCAGGUCACUGGAGACCUAACAUUCUCUUAAUAGGAAUGCUUGGAGUUUUUCUUCA